CCCAUUGCUACCAUCACAUGGCCUCAUUUUCAGGAUGCUUUUCGUGUUGCACAUGUGUCUGCUGGUGCUAUGAGUCUGCAAAAGAAGGACUUUCGCAGUUUGCGCCAGGGAGGUCGCACAAUUAAUGCUUAUGUGGAGGAAUUUAAUAAUCUUGCACGUUAUGCUCCUAAUGAUGUUAACACUGAUGCAGCUAGGCGGGAGAAAUUUUUGGAGGGCCUAAAUGAUGACUUGAGCCUUCAGUUGACAGUGGCUGCUUUUAGGAAUUGUCAGGACCUAAUUGAUAAGGCCAUUGUGUUGGAGGGAAAGCAACAUGCCAUAGAGAAUCACAAGAGGAAGUACAACAACAAUAACAGGUAUAAUUCAGGACCAGAGCAGAAACCACGCACUUCAUAUCAUGGUAAUGGAGGUAAUGGACAUAAUCAUCAUGGAGGUAAUGAUCAUAAUCAUCAUGGAGGGAAUGGCCACAACCAUAAUGGACACCAUCAUCAUAAUGGGCACAAGAGUAACAAUGGCAAUGGCAGAGGUAAUGGUAAUGGUAAUGGCAAUGGAGGGAACAAUAACCAGAACCACCAGGUUACACGUGCGCCUAGGGAUUUGAGUCUGGUGCAGUGCUUCAGGUGUAAGGCUAUGGGGCACUAUGCCACAGAUUGCCCGGGGGCGAAGAACUCAGGAUCCAGCAAGCCAAACCCCUUCCAAAAGGGUCAUGUAAAUCAUGUUAAUGUGGAGGAGGUUUACAAUGAACCUGAUGCAGUGAUUGAUUGUCCGGAGUGUGACGCG
RNAcentral lists this ribosomal RNA (777 nucleotides) under Triticum aestivum (bread wheat). Its description in RNAcentral is "partial small subunit ribosomal RNA". Lineage: Eukaryota; Viridiplantae; Streptophyta; Magnoliopsida; Poales; Poaceae. The record is from RNAcentral.